UUAAAUUUCACACCACCUACUCAUCCAUAAAUUUCAGACAGAGAAAGUUAUCUCACAAAAAUGGAAGUGAAAUCCGAGUUCAACGAGCAAAAGAAAUGUCUCAAUCAUGACGGCGGCAACGACGGAGACAGUGGUCAAGGCCAGGCGAAUCCGCCUUCCACCGCCAUGGAUCCACCCGUGGCAGAGGUGGAUCGGGUUAGGGCGCCACCACGGCCGGUCAUAAGCGGUGGCGGUGGCCCUCAGACCAACACAAACCCUAAUUAAUAGUAGUUUUUUUCAUUUGGUAAUUUUAUGUGAUUUCUUCUAGUUUUUUUCUUUGUAAGAUUAUGUUUUAGGGAUCUCUCUCUCUCCUACACUGUGUUCUUUGGUUUUGGAAGUUGAUACUUGUUUUUCUCUGUUUGUUGUUAGUGUUUGUAAAUCAAGAUUCCCAAUGAUAUGUAUGUCACUAGGCUACAUGCAUGUUUAUAUGUAAUUUAAUUAACUAAUUAAUUAAUGUGUUGAAUUA
Salvia splendens (bonfire salvia) is the source of this 505-nucleotide long non-coding RNA. RefSeq lists it as uncharacterized. Lineage: Eukaryota; Viridiplantae; Streptophyta; Magnoliopsida; Lamiales; Lamiaceae. The record is from RefSeq and is a predicted model, not a curated record. The transcript has 2 exons.